Molecule: RNA transcript, 4682 nt
Organism: Musa acuminata AAA Group (dessert banana)
Lineage: Eukaryota; Viridiplantae; Streptophyta; Magnoliopsida; Zingiberales; Musaceae
Gene name: autophagy-related protein 3-like
Exons: 11
Source: RefSeq, a predicted model, not a curated record
GCCGUGGCCCUGUGGCCGUCGCCCCUGCCAUCCCGCGAACCCCCUUUAUUCCCCUGUUGCACCACCGCCUCCUCCCUCUUCCGUAGCCUCUCGUCAUGCUCCCUUUUCCCGCACGCAGAGCUCUCUUGACUCCGUCGAGCCGGGUUGCUUUGUCGACACACUCUCCUCCUACACCGUCCAGUCCUAUGACGUGUUCGAGAGGGCGUGGAGUCCAUCCCGUGGGAUGAUUCCUAAGUGGCAAUUUGGCUCCAGGUUCUCGAUGCAGAUCCUGACGGAUGCGGAAGAUAUGUGUUGCUUUGCUGGUUGUCACUCGGCAUCGCAACGCUUCUCACGUUGUGAACGUGAUUGGACCCUAUUGAGAAUUUCUUUCCUUUUCCUUUCCCCCUAUUAUUUCCAUGAUCAGAGGAGAGAGCUUGUGUUAGCAGAGGAUGUGUUGAUCCUUGCACAAGAAGAGAAGUUAUAUAGAGGAAGGAAGAAAGAAUGGUGUUGAUUAAGUUGCACGAAGUUCUCAAGAGCACGGUGGAGCUACUCACAAGGCCCCGCACUGUUUCUGCCUUCAAGAAGAAGGGCGUCCUUAGCAUCUCUGAGUUCAUCCUCGCUGGUGAUAACCUUGUCGCCAAGUGCCCGACCUGGUCUUGGGAGGCAGGCGAGCCGAGCAAGAGGAAGUCCUACUUGCCAGCUGACAAGCAAUACCUCAUCACGAGAAAUGUACCUUGUCUAAGGAGGGCUAGUUCAAUGGAAGAAGAAUACAAUAUUAUAGGAGAAGAGAUUCUUUUUGAUACUAAUGAUGAAGAUAUUAUUGGUUGGAUAGUAACUCAUCGGAAGCCAAGAGAGAUCAAGCAUUAUAAGGAGGAAGCUAUACCUUCCAUGGAGUCUGUGGAAAUUGACAAACGUGAGACUGUCACGUUCAACCCCAUUUAUUUUGCUGUUGAGGAGGAAGACAUACCUGACAUGGCAGAUUAUGAGAAAAAGACAGAAACAGUCAUCCUUCCAUCAACUUAUCUCGUUGCAAAUGAACCUGAGGAUGACAAAAUUCUUCGGACUCGAACAUAUGACGUUAGCAUAACGUAUGACAAAUAUUAUCAAACUCCUCAUGUAUGGCUAACUGGAUAUGAUCAGUGGAGGAUGCCUUUGCCGCCAGAACUUAUAUUUGAAGAUGUGAACGAAGACCACACACAGAAAACAGUGACAAUUGAAAAUCAUCCUCAUUUGUGCCUGAAGCAUGCAUCUGUACAUCCAUGCCAUCAUGCGGCUGUCGUAAAAAAAAUGCUGGAUGUUCUCAUAUCACGCGGAAUUGAACCAGAAGUUGACAAGUACCUUUUCUUGUUCUUGAAGUUUAUCUCCUCUGUGGUUCCCACGAUCGAGUAUGACUACACAAUGGACUUUGAUCUUUGAAGUUCCAGUGACCAACAAGAGACAUGAACCCUGCCACCUGAGGUACUUAUACAGCAUGAUGAUAUGCCCAAUUAGUGGCACAUGCUCAUCGAACUUUAUAUGGAGCUUAAUGAAAGAUUCUUCUUUUUGUGGUCAGCGACUAAGAUUUGUAUAAGCUUAUGUUGUAUAAUAGUCAUAAUGAUACUAUUGAUCGGUAGAUGUGAUAGUCACAAAGCUAGAUUAGAUUAUGUUUUUUGCAGGAUUGAGAUGUCAGUGGUGGAAUUGUAAUACUCCAUACUGGUCAAACAUUGAAUGCUAGAGGAUGUUUGAAUUGGAUUAUAGGGGUUAUCUCAUUGAGUCGAAUCAUGAGAAGUUAUAUUAGAGAAGAUCUGAGGUUUGGUAAUAUUACAUCGUUUUUCUGAUAUUUAAUGCAAUUUAAGUUAAUUGGAUAUUACGAAUGGCAAAUCAUCAUAGUCUGUGAGAUUGACGUAAUCGAUGGAUAUGAUCUUUCCGGGUAUGAUUCUGGGCCUCUGCGGCGGGUGUGAAAAGCAUUUCAAGAAACAAGGCAUCGCGAGGUCGUUUUGUGACUAACCAUCGCGAGGCCUCGGUCGUUCCGGCCGUUUUCCCUCCAAACAGGUCACCCUAAUCCUCAUCGUGCGUCCUUCCCCCGCCGCGGUCUACGCGUCCGCCGAGCUCCCUCGCGGCCGCCUCGGUCACCAUCGUUCCGGCGUCUCCUUUGCCUUUCAUCAAGCGGUCGUUUCGGCUUCUCCUUUGCCUUUCAUCAAGCGGUUCCGCGGCAAAAUGAUCGUGGUCAAGUACGCCUUUCAUCAGCGACCUCGUUCUUCUUUCGUGCGACGGCCUACGCCCCAUCCUCGUCCAUGAUGACCACCCGGAGAUCGACUCCUUGCUCCUCCGUCUCGUCACGAGGAACACAAACUUGGCUGACUUUGUGGUCCAAGGUUCAAUUUAGUUAGUAAUUACAUGGUGCAGAUUGAUCAUAUUAUAUAUCACUUACACCUACACAAGCGGUCAAAUGGUUGAUUGCAUUCGGUAAGCAUUCAAGGGUUUCUUUCAUUGUGUUCUUGAGUAUCAUUCCUUUUUCUUUUCUUCUCUGAGUUAAAUUGUUGAGGUCAGGUGCCGAAGGUGAAGGCAGAUACCAAAACAAACUUAUAUACUGCCGUCUAAAUGGAAGCUGAUAAUUAAUGUUUUACUGAAAGUGUUACACAUUGGUUGCUUUGAUGUGAUUUAGAUGAUAACAAAAUGACAUGCAUUGAUAGUGUAUGAUUGUGACAAAAAAAAAAGAGUAGUUAGAAUUGUUAGAUUAUGUGACCCUAUUUAAUUGAUAAAAUAUAUUAGAUCUGAUUGGAUUCUAAUGAAAGUUAUUAGUCAAUAGAAAGAAAGUUCAAUUAUGAUAGGAUUUCUUACGAGAGAGAAACUCUCAUAAUUACUUAUUCUAGAUCCUUUGCUCUUGUCUAUAUAUAGGCAAAACUUUUUAUAUAUGAACAUGAUAGAUCUACAUUUGAUGAUUUCUAGAAACUCCAUGAAAGAUAGACCUUCCUUCUUAGAACUUUUGGUAUCAAAAAUUCAAAUGUACAAGUUAUCAAAUGUAAAAGCACAUUCAAAUAUUGAUUAUUCUCUACCUUGGCAUCAUCGCAUGAGUUAUCAAUCAAUCACCAUUGUCAACAUCAUCAUUAUCAUGAAGCACUUUCCCUUAUAUAGCAUUGUAUUCUUCUUCCAUUGAACUAGUCUGCCAAUAGACAACAAUCAUGAUUGGUUAGGCAAGAGCCAAAACAAAUGGGUCUAGUUAUUAAAUGGGUUGAACAUGAGAAAACAAAACGGUAUCUUUCUGAUCUCAUAACACCAACUAGCAAUCAUUAAUUAGAAAUAGAAUAUUUUUAAUUCGAUGGUUAACAUAAUAAGGUAUUCCUUGUCAGCCGUCGAGUAUGACUUCCUAAUCCUUGGCGCUAAGCCUACCUCGCUAACCAAAUCCAUGAAGAAUAAAAGUAAUUCAAAAUAAAUUUUGAAUCUAGUCAAAGAGGGAAGGAGGAAGAGAGUGGCUAACCAAGAGUAGGUGGGCUGCUUGAUGAUGAAGAUAGGUGAGGUUAUCACCAAGUUCUCUUGGGCGUCAAGUGCCUCACCUGGUUUGGGUUAGCCCCUCCUUUCCUCCUCUCCUCUAUGACAAGAUUCUAUAUUUCUCUUAAAUUGGGUUUUGCUCUUCGUGGAUUUGGUUUAGGAAGGUGGGCAAACGAAACGUAAGGAAAUCAUGCUUUCUAUCUGACAAGCAAUACCCUGUCAUAAAGAAUGGUAUACACAUCAUGUGGGUAUAGAUACUCUCUUUCCAAUUAAUAGUCACUACUUGGUGCUACGAGAUCAGUAAAUAGAAUUUUGUUUAGGGUUUAGGGUUUAUGAGAUUAAUAGUCACCUUAGAUUAGGAUUGUACCUAAUCUAAGGUGAGCUAGUUUGAAGGUUCUUUUUUAUAAUGGUGAUUGGUUGGUGACUCAUACACUGUUAAAAGGUAAAGCAAAAAACUUAAUAUUUGGAUUUGAUUUGUUUUAUUACACUUUUACUUUUACAUUUGGUUAUUUGUGCAUAUAAAUUUUUUAGAGACCAAGAGUUCUAAGGAGAAGGAAGGUCUAUCUUCUAUGGAGUUUUUGAAAAUCAACAAAGGUGGAGCUAUCAGGUCCAUCCUUUUAUUUUGGUGCUGAGGAGGAAGAUAUACCUCACAUGUUGGAGUAUGAAGAUCGCAACUUCAUCAAGACAUCUGGCAAAUGCACAUUUUCGCGAGAAACACUAUUACCUUGUAGCUUUCUUGUUUUAUCACCUCGGUGGUUCCUACAAUCCGAGUAUGACUACACAAUGGACUUUGAUCUUGGUGUUCAGGUACGGCCUCGUUUUUUUUUUAAAUAAUUUUCAUUCAUUACGUCAAACGAUAUACAAGACGUGCAUGUCGACUUGAACAUUAGACCUCUCGACUGUGCAACAGUUUACUAAGUUACUAACCACUAGAUGUGUCAACAGAGAAAAGAGUUGUGCUCUAUGGUUGGUUAUAUUUAGUGUCGUGAAAAGGAAUUUGUGUGCUAUUGAUGGAUUCCUAUUGCAUGUUCUUGGGAGAAGGUAAUGGUGUCAUGACAUAACAGGAAAAGCACCUCAUAUAUGCCUUCAUUGUAUCAGAUUGAAGCAAGCAUGCAGAAGGCUUGAAGCAAUUUAUAUAUGCCUGUCUGCUUAUAGUAAGCAUUGUACUACAUAAUACAAACUACACAUUUGUGUGUGAAUCAUAUCACACUUUGUGAAGUCAUGUUUUUGAACUC